Molecule: long non-coding RNA, 257 nt
Filed under: Lathyrus oleraceus (garden pea)
Lineage: Eukaryota; Viridiplantae; Streptophyta; Magnoliopsida; Fabales; Fabaceae
Description: Pisum sativum (pea) long non-coding RNA (PSAT_LNC014951)
Source: RNAcentral
AUUAAAAUAGUUAAAAUUUAUUUAAGUCAAGUGUUAUUUAGUUUCUUUUAUUAAUAAUUCUAUUUCCUUAAAGUAAGUAAUAAAUGUAUUUAAAUAAAUAUACAUUAUGCAUUGGAUUCCUCUUUUUCUUAAAUAAAAAAAACAACAAAACAAAUAAAUAAAUAAUAAGAAUCUCAACAAAUUCGCUAACGUCUCUCUCAUCUCAUUCCACGCAUUCCCUCAUUUCACUCUUCACGCAACUCUCCACUCACUCUCAC